This 168-nucleotide unclassified non-coding RNA is filed under the name uncultured Sebacinaceae. RNAcentral's name for it is "sequence contains ITS1". Lineage: Eukaryota; Fungi; Basidiomycota; Agaricomycetes; Sebacinales; Sebacinaceae. The record is from RNAcentral.
AUGAUUACGAAUGGUUGCCUUCUGUGCUGGCCAGAACUGGCAAGUGCACGUCGGUGGCUUUCAUCCAAUACCCUGUGAACCUUUGGCCUUUGCUAGCUUCGGCCGGCAGAGGAAUUUACACACACUCGAAUGUAAUGAAAUAUAUUGUCGUGCGCAAGCACUAAUGUA